This 263-nucleotide long non-coding RNA is filed under the name Homo sapiens (human). Its description in RNAcentral is "HSALNT0054817". The record is from RNAcentral. Lineage: Eukaryota; Metazoa; Chordata; Mammalia; Primates; Hominidae.
CCGGGCUGGACGCCGAGACCCGGGCCCGCUUUACACAAUCGCCCCGCCGCGCGAAGCGAAACGGGUGGAACGCAGACUGCCGAAGCUCACUGACUCCUUUGAGGGAGCGAAUUCUUUCAGCUACGCGGGGUUAGAGCGGUAGGAGUGCCCGCUGCCCGACCCCAGGCUUUCUGGUAAAUGUCUGUUUCCACCAAGUGAGUUCGGACAGCAACACCUGGGGCUCCCAAAGCGGAAGCCGUCAGCACUGGCGAUUUGGAGCUGCG